RNAcentral lists this ribosomal RNA (255 nucleotides) under uncultured bacterium. Its description in RNAcentral is "partial 16S ribosomal RNA". It matches the Rfam family "Bacterial small subunit ribosomal RNA", at positions 524 to 776 of the family's 1533-position model. The record is from RNAcentral.
UACGAAGGGGGCUAGCGUUGUUCGGAAUCACUGGGCGUAAAGCGCACGCAGGCGGGUCGUUAAGUCAGGGGUGAAAUCCCGAGGCUCAACCUCGGAACUGCCUUUGAUACUGGCGAUCUUUGAGUCCGGGAGAGGUGAGUGGAACUCCGAGUGUAGAGGUGAAAUUCGUAGAUAUUUCGGAAGAACACCAGUGGCGAAGGCGGCUCACUGGCCCGGUACUGACGCUCAUGUGCGAAAGCGUGGGGAGCAAACAGG